RNAcentral lists this ribosomal RNA (301 nucleotides) under uncultured bacterium. RNAcentral's name for it is "partial 16S ribosomal RNA". It matches the Rfam family "Bacterial small subunit ribosomal RNA", at positions 509 to 809 of the family's 1533-position model. The record is from RNAcentral.
CAGCAGCCACGGUAAUACGUAGGGUGCGAGCGUUAAUCGGAAUUACUGGGCGUAAAGCGUGCGCAGGCGGUUAUAUAAGACAGAUGUGAAAUCCCCGGGCUCAACCUGGGACCUGCAUUUGUGACUGUAUAGCUAGAGUACGGUAGAGGGGGAUGGAAUUCCGCGUGUAGCAGUGAAAUGCGUAGAUAUGCGGAGGAACACCGAUGGCGAAGGCAAUCCCCUGGACCUGUACUGACGCUCAUGCACGAAAGCGUGGGGAGCAGACAGGAUUAGAUACCCCCGUAGUCCCUGUCUCUUAUAA